AUUGAACGCUGGCGGCAUGCCUUACACAUGCAAGUCGAACGGCAGCACGGGAGCUUGCUCCUGGUGGCGAGUGGCGAACGGGUGAGUAAUACAUCGGAACGUACCCUGAAGUGGGGGAUAACGUAGCGAAAGUUACGCUAAUACCGCAUAUUCUGUGAGCAGGAAAGAGGGGGAUCGCAAGACCUCUUGCUUUAGGAGCGGCCGAUGUCGGAUUAGCUAGUUGGUGAGGUAAAGGCUCACCAAGGCGACGAUCCGUAGCGGGUCUGAGAGGAUGAUCCGCCACACUGGGACUGAGACACGGCCC
Molecule: ribosomal RNA, 304 nt
Filed under: uncultured bacterium
Lineage: Bacteria
Description: bacterial SSU rRNA
Rfam family: Bacterial small subunit ribosomal RNA
Source: RNAcentral